GGUGCUUUGCUUCCCUUUCACCUUCUGCCAUGAUUGUAUGUUUCCUGAGGCCUCCCAGCCAUGAUGAACUAUGGGACUGUCUAGUUGCAGGAAAACAAGCUCAGAGCUCUCACUGAUUCUACAUUAUGUGUCUUAAGACUUGUUUUGUGCCCUGACAUGUG
This is a long non-coding RNA of Symphalangus syndactylus (siamang), 161 nucleotides long. RefSeq lists it as uncharacterized. The record is from RefSeq and is a predicted model, not a curated record. NCBI's taxonomy places the organism in Eukaryota, Metazoa, Chordata, Mammalia, Primates, Hylobatidae.